RNAcentral lists this ribosomal RNA (256 nucleotides) under uncultured bacterium. RNAcentral describes it as "partial 16S ribosomal RNA". It matches the Rfam family "Bacterial small subunit ribosomal RNA", at positions 524 to 776 of the family's 1533-position model. The record is from RNAcentral.
UACGUAGGGGGCUAGCGUUGUCCGGAAUCAUUGGGCGUAAAGAGCGUGUAGGCGGUCCGGUAAGUCCGCUGUGAAAGUCGGGGGCUCAACCCUCGAAUGCCGGUGGAUACUGUCGGGCUAGAGUGCGGAAGAGGCGAGUGGAAUUCCUGGUGUAGCGGUGAAAUGCGCAGGAUAUCAGGAGGAACACCGAUGGCGGAAGGCAGGUCUCUGGGCUGACACUGACGCUCAUGGCACGAAAGCGUGGGGAGCAAACAGG